Molecule: small RNA, 310 nt
Filed under: Drosophila mojavensis
Lineage: Eukaryota; Metazoa; Arthropoda; Insecta; Diptera; Drosophilidae
Description: GI25973
Source: RNAcentral
UAUGAGACAGGAUCAAGAACGAGCAGAAUGUGGACAAGGCAAAGGGCAAGGCAAGAGAGCAAGCGAGAGUCUGAGGGAACGGGAACGGGCACUAGACUCUGCUCUGGAAAAAUAUUUUGUUCAUUAAUGUGGCACCCCGCCCCAAACGAGCCGUAGAUGGAAAGCGACUAGAGAAAGAGGGCACAACAAAAGAGAGAGAGAGAGGGAGAAGAAAACUUGUGCACGACUUGAGGCUGCGCUGGGAGUGCUAUGAAAAUUAGUUUGAGCUGAAAGGUAUAACCAAAGUAAAAAUAAAUAAGCAGCAAAAAAA